UACGAAGGGGGCUAGCGUUGUUCGGAAUUACUGGGCGUAAAGCGCGCGCAGGCGGCCUUUCAAGUCGGGGGUGAAAUCCCAGAGCUCAACUCUGGAAUUGCCUUCGAGACUGUGAGGCUUCGAGUACGGGAGAGGUGAGUGGAAUUCCCAGUGUAGAGGUGAAAUUCGUAGAUAUUGGGAAGAACACCAGUGGCGAAGGCGGCUCACUGGCCCGUUACUGACGCUCAGGCGCGACAGCGUGGGGAUCAAACAGG
Molecule: ribosomal RNA, 254 nt
Filed under: uncultured bacterium
Lineage: Bacteria
Description: partial 16S ribosomal RNA
Rfam family: Bacterial small subunit ribosomal RNA
Source: RNAcentral